AGGUCGGAGGGAUACUUAUACCCAUAUCCUUCGCGAGCUAUCCUUGACAGCAGAGUACUCUGUAGUUGGUUAUGUUCAGUGAUGAUGUAUUUCUACAUCUCACCUACAUGCCAUACCAGUAUUUUCAUAUUAUUUGGUUAUGAGGACAACCAACACAUAUGGCACACAACGACUUACACUUAAUAUUGCUAUCAUCCUAGUAAUAGCGUAUCGUUUGAUCGCAAAUCAAUUUAAGGACUACAUGAUAAAUCUUUUUUUAUCGAUCAAAGUAGCCCUAAGGACUUCAUCACAACAUAGGAGUUCGUUAGAAG
RNAcentral lists this long non-coding RNA (311 nucleotides) under Elaeis guineensis (African oil palm). RNAcentral's name for it is "long non-coding RNA (EGUI_LNC018999)". The record is from RNAcentral. Lineage: Eukaryota; Viridiplantae; Streptophyta; Magnoliopsida; Arecales; Arecaceae.